GAUGAACGCUGGCGGCGUGCCUAACACAUGCAAGUCGAGCGAGGCGCUUAAAUUAGCUUUCUUCGGAAUGACGAUUUUUGUGACUGAGCGGCGGACGGGUGAGUAACGCGUGGGUAACCUGCCUCAUACAGGGGGAUAACAGUUAGAAAUGACUGCUAAUACCGCAUAAGACCCCAGCUUCGCAUGAAGCGGUGGUAAGAACUCCGGUGGUAUGAGAUGGACCCGCGUCUGAUUAGCUAGUUGGUAAGGUAACGGCUUACCAAGGCGACGAUCAGUAGCCGACCUGAGAGGGUGACCGGCCACAUUGGGACUGAGACACGGCCCAGACUCCUACGGGAGGCAGCAGUGGGGAAUAUUGCACAAUGGGGGAAACCCUGAUGCAGCGACGCCGCGUGAAGGAUGAAGUAUUUCGGUAUGUAAACUUCUAUCAGCAGGGAAGAAAGUGACGGUACCUGACUAAGAAGCCCCGGCUAACUACGUG
This 481-nucleotide ribosomal RNA is filed under the name uncultured bacterium. RNAcentral describes it as "partial 16S ribosomal RNA". It matches the Rfam family "Bacterial small subunit ribosomal RNA", at positions 28 to 507 of the family's 1533-position model. The record is from RNAcentral.